CUCAGAGGAGAGCCUCUGUAAGUUUUAACGUCGUCCGUUUCUUCCUUCAGUCUCAUCAUUUAUUGAUUGCCCACUCAUCCCACUCUCUCUGAAUUAAACAUCAUCAUUAUCAUCAAAGGUAGCCGCUUGAGACUCUUCUUCACUAUAAAACGGUCUCUUCUCUGCGAUGAAUAGCCACAGUUAUACGGGAUCCCUAAUAUGCUUUUCAUGGAUGAGAAGAUUGGUUUUCUGACUGGUGCUUGAAGAUAUAGCUCUGGUGUAUUCAAUUCUCUUUAUGCAAGAUUUACUCUCUUAAAAGGAUAGCAGACAAAGGUCAUGCGGUUGGAAACUCGAUAGAGAGUUGCAAAGAUGAGUCUAAGCCUCGAAACUGUUCUGAGUAGAAGUGGGAAGAUGCAGAGCCAAGGUCCCAGAAAAUAGGAAGAAGAUAACAAUGUCUGUGAGUAGUUCUAUGAUACAAGAACCAGUGAGGACUUGGCAAAAUAAAAUGAUGGAAACCAUUCUUGUGGAGUUCUGAUUGAGACUGGAAAGAAGCUACGAUUUUAUAACAUCAAUGGUAAUAGUUGUUCUCCUGAGAUAGUUUUCUGUCGUUUUAUAUGGACAAGCAUGUUAUAAGGAGAACACUUAUCAUGUUGUGGAAGGACAUGUGUCGAUGAAGGCGUGACAGUCCAGGAGAAGUUCAAUAUUCGUUGAGAAAGAUUCUGUGUAUUUUGCCUUUUUUGGGAUUUGUAAUAUAAAGCUAACAUAUUCUUUGAUUAUUUUAUUUCAUUAAAUUAUGUAAU
Long non-coding RNA from Brassica oleracea var. oleracea, 779 nucleotides. RefSeq lists it as uncharacterized. The record is from RefSeq and is a predicted model, not a curated record. The transcript has 3 exons. NCBI's taxonomy places the organism in Eukaryota, Viridiplantae, Streptophyta, Magnoliopsida, Brassicales, Brassicaceae.